RNAcentral lists this ribosomal RNA (617 nucleotides) under Escherichia coli. RNAcentral describes it as "bacterial LSU rRNA". It matches the Rfam family "Bacterial large subunit ribosomal RNA", at positions 2332 to 2925 of the family's 2925-position model. Lineage: Bacteria; Pseudomonadati; Pseudomonadota; Gammaproteobacteria; Enterobacterales; Enterobacteriaceae. The record is from RNAcentral.
CGGACAUCAGGAGGUUAGUGCAAUGGCAUAAGCCAGCUUGACUGCGAGCGUGACGGCGCGAGCAGGUGCGAAAGCAGGUCAUAGUGAUCCGGUGGUUCUGAAUGGAAGGGCCAUCGCUCAACGGAUAAAAGGUACUCCGGGGAUAACAGGCUGAUACCGCCCAAGAGUUCAUAUCGACGGCGGUGUUUGGCACCUCGAUGUCGGCUCAUCACAUCCUGGGGCUGAAGUAGGUCCCAAGGGUAUGGCUGUUCGCCAUUUAAAGUGGUACGCGAGCUGGGUUUAGAACGUCGUGAGACAGUUCGGUCCCUAUCUGCCGUGGGCGCUGGAGAAUUGAGGGGGGCUGCUCCUAGUACGAGAGGACCGGAGUGGACGCAUCACUGGUGUUCGGGUUGUCAUGCCAAUGGCACUGCCCGGUAGCUAAAUGCGGAAGAGAUAAGUGCUGAAAGCAUCUAAGCACGAAACUUGCCCCGAGAUGAGUUCUCCCUGACUCCUUGAGAGUCCUGAAGGAACGUUGAAGAUGACGACGUUGAUAGGCCGGGUGUGUAAGCGCAGCGAUGCGUUGAGCUAACCGGUACUAAUGAACCGUGAGGCUUAACCUUACAACGCCGAAGGUGUUU